RNAcentral lists this ribosomal RNA (497 nucleotides) under uncultured bacterium. Its description in RNAcentral is "partial 16S ribosomal RNA". It matches the Rfam family "Bacterial small subunit ribosomal RNA", at positions 28 to 507 of the family's 1533-position model. The record is from RNAcentral.
GAUGAACGCUGGCGGUGUGCCUAAUACAUGCAAGUCGAGCGAACAGACGAGGAGCUUACUCCUCUGACGUUAGCGGCGGACGGGGGAGUAACACGUGGAUAACCUACCUAUAAGACUGGGAUAACUUCGGGAAACCGGAGCUAAUACCGGAUAACAUGUUGAACCGCAUGGUUCAACAGUGAAAGACGGUCUUGCUGUCACUUAUAGAUGGAUCCGCGUCGCAUUAGCUAGUUGGUAAGGUAACGGCUUACCAAGGCAACGAUGCGUAGCCGACCUGAGAGGGUGAUCGGCCACACUGGAACUGAGACACGGUCCAGACUCCUACGGGAGGCAGCAGUAGGGAAUCUUCCGCAAUGGGCGAAAGCCUGACGGAGCAACGCCGCGUGAGUGAAGAAGGUCUUCGGAUCGUAAAACUCUGUUAUUAGGGAAGAACAAAUGUGUAAGUAACUAUGCACGUCUUGACGGUACCUAAUCAGAAAGCCACGGCUAACUACGUG